GUGAAGCUGGCGGCGUGCUUAACACAUGCAAGUCGAACGGUGAACACGGNAGCUUGCUCUGUGGGAUCAGUGGCGAACGGGUGAGUAACACGUGAGCAACCUGCCCCUGACUCUGGGAUAAGCGCUGGAAACGGCGUCUAAUACUGGAUACGAGUAGCGACCGCAUGGUCAGUUACUGGAAAGAUUUAUUGGUUGGGGAUGGGCUCGCGGCCUAUCAGCUUGUUGGUGAGGUAAUGGCUCACCAAGGCGUCGACGGGUAGCCGGCCUGAGAGGGUGACCGGCCACACUGGGACUGAGACACGGCCCAGACUCCUACGGGAGGCAGCAGUGGGGAAUAUUGCACAAUGGGCGCAAGCCUGAUGCAGCAACGCCGCGUGAGGGAUGACGGCCUUCGGGUUGUAAACCUCUUUUAGCAGGGAAGAAGCGAAAGUGACGGUACCUGCAGAAAAAGCGCCGGCUAACUACGUGCCAGCAGCCGCGGUAAUACGUAGGGCGCAAGCGUUAUCCGGAAUUAUUGGGCGUAAAGAGCUCGUAGGCGGUUUGUCGCGUCUGCUGUGAAAUCCGGAGGCUCAACCUCCGGCCUGCAGUGGGUACGGGCAGACUAGAGUGCGGUAGGGGAGAUUGGAAUUCCUGGUGUAGCGGUGGAAUGCGCAGAUAUCAGGAGGAACACCGAUGGCGAAGGCAGAUCUCUGGGCCGUAACUGACNCUGAGGAGCGAAAGGGUGGGGAGCAAACAGGCUUAAAUACCUGNUAGUCCACCCCNNAACGUUGGNACUAGUUGUGGGGUCCAUUCACGGAUUCCUGACNCANCUACCCAUAAGUUCCCNCUGGGAGUCNGCCCAGGCUAACUAAGGAAUUACGGGACCCCCAGCGCGNCUGCGNUAUUNNUCACCNAAACUAC
This 900-nucleotide ribosomal RNA is filed under the name bacterium G9(2006). Its description in RNAcentral is "bacterial SSU rRNA". It matches the Rfam family "Bacterial small subunit ribosomal RNA", at positions 29 to 873 of the family's 1533-position model. The record is from RNAcentral.